Molecule: long non-coding RNA, 3380 nt
Filed under: Oncorhynchus kisutch (coho salmon)
Lineage: Eukaryota; Metazoa; Chordata; Actinopteri; Salmoniformes; Salmonidae
Description: lncRNA (ENSOKIG00005037156.1)
Source: RNAcentral
CAUAAAUAAAAAAAACUGUUAGCUUGCUAACUUCAGGUAAUGUCUAACGUUAAUUUCCUUUCACUUCUGCCCACUCUCACCAUCACAACUUCAUUUGCAGCUAACUGGUAUAUUGACAUGCCUCUCCUCUCACAGGCUUUGCGUUGACACAAAUAUGGUGAAGAUCUUUAUUGGAAACCUCCCUAACGAGGUCGAGAAGGAUGAGCUCGAGGCUCUGUUUACUCAACAUGGUGCAGUGACAGAAUGUGCAAAGUUCAAAAACUAUGCCUUCGUCCACAUGGAUGACCGUAAGUCUGCCACCGAAGGCAUCCGCAGCCUGCACCUCUUAAAGCUUCAUGGCAGGCCAAUCAAUGUGAAGCCAAGCAGGGGAAAGAAUCAGGGUCCGGUGAAACUUCACGUGGCUAACGUGGAGAAAGGGGAAGAAGAUGCGCUCCGCACCUUGUUUGAGGAGUAUAGCACAGUCACAGAAUGUGCUGUUGUCAAAAACUUUGCUUUUGUCCACAUGUCCAACUCUGAUGAGGCCAUGGAUGCCACAGAGGGAUUAGACAACUCUGACUACCAAGGUAAGAAACAAAGACCCUAAUUUAAUAUUCACUAUUAAACGGUUGGGAAGUCCCAAUGUUAAAUAUGAACUUUAGUUUUGUGUGUCACUGUCUGACUGGUAAUCAUGGUUUUCCUCUUUAGGCAGACAUCUUCACGUUCAGAUAUCAAAAAGACGUCCCAGACGGGAGGAAGGGGAUUAAAAUAAUGGCGCAUACUGGCCAGCACCUCACGGCUACCCUGUUGACAGGGGGAGCCGGAACACCCUCAUUACAGAGGUUGCAUGUCAGGGGGGUACCCUGGCCUCCCUUCACCCCCUCCCCCUAGACGAGCCCCAUACCCCCCAGAGCGUGCUUAUGAGCGUGGUAGAUUACUAUGAGAAGUACAGAGCUCGCCCUGCCCUUUACGGUUGCUUCUCAGGCUAUGGAGAUGAGAGGCGAGUUGGCGCCAUACCCCCACCACCACCCCCUUCUGCCAUGGUUAGGGCGCGCCUUUCGGCCUUCUCUCUCGCCCGGUAAGAGCGUCACCUACCUCCCACCUCUGUCCUCCUACUACGCCAUGACCACAGUCCCAUCAGGAGACCAUCUCCUCCCUCCAUGCCCCGCAUGGGUAACGGCUACUCCUAUGAGCGCUUCCAGCUCUCUCCUCUGUCCAGGCCUGCAAUGUACAACCUACCACGUUCCAGGGACCCCUACGCUGACAGGGUCCCUCCACUGCCUCCUGCACGCUACUCUUACUGAACGCACACUGGCGUUUGACUCAAGUCCUCUAGGCCUCGUGUUCUUUCCUUGCACAAGAGGUUGGUACGGAAGUGGAAUUCUGCUCAAAGGUAUUGUGAAAUUAUUUGAAGUGGAAUUGUGAAAUUGUGUAGGUGUCGAUAAUGAAAAUAUUAGAUUAAGUCUGGUCGUUUAUACUAAAUGUCGGAUUUAUUUUUUAAUUGUAUGGACACAUUUUCCCCUGCUUAGUAGACCCUUUAUAAUUAAACUUGUCUCCAUCCUAUUUCUCCCAUCUCUUCCACUCUAGGCCAAUUUAAAGGCAAUGCUACCAAAUACUAAUUGAGUGUAUGUAAACUUCUGACCCACUGGGAAUGUGAUGAAGGAAGUAAAAGCUGAAAUAUAUCAUUCUCUCAACUAUUAUUCUGACAUUUCACAUUCUUAAAAUAAAAUGGUGAUCCUAGCUGACCUAAAACAGGGAUUUUUUUACUAGGAUUAAAUGUCAGGAAUUGUGAAACUGAGUUUAAAUGUAUUUGGCUAAGGUGUAUGUAAACUUCUGACUUCAACUGUACAUAUCAUAGAGAUACUUGGAGAUAGCCCUACGGGACCAUGGAUUGUGCUGUUUUGAGCUUAUUGGUCAUGCUCCUGUCUGGGGUGUGGCAUAGUGUUUCUCCUUCUGAAGCCACAUUGGUUGAGUGUGGCACUGGGAAGACUUGCACUGUGGCCCUACUUAGCCUUAACCCUGCCACUCUGGUCUGCCCUGGUUCCUCCCUACACCCUUUGAUCAAGUGGACCAUCCAGGGAAUCUUGGACACAGGCUACAGCUCAUCUCCAAUAGUGAUCCAGACCAGUAGAGCCCCCCUGGUGGGGGCCUUCUGCUGAAGGCUGACACCACCAACUGUGAAAGAGUGAAUCUCCCCUAGUGUUAACUGCUGUGUACUUGGAGCACUCCGAAACCAACAGGCAAAGGUUUGGCUUGGGUCUGCAGAGAGCUCCAAGCAGGCAAAGAAGGAACAUCAAUCUAUGGAGAGUUCUGUGACUAUACUCCAAUAUCCAAUACAGAGCUCUGGUCAGGAUAGAACCAGGUGGUGUAAAGGUUUUUCAAUCAUCCCUUAUGGUGGCCAGCCCAACUCGCCCUCAGGCUCCUGCCUCCGCCUUUGAGACACAGGACUUACCUCACAUCUAAACUCAGCAUGCUCGCCAGUGAACCUCCUGCCUCUUUCUGCCCAUGUGCAACCUUUAACCUCUGACCACAUCAGACCAGCGACCCUCUGGCACAGUUUUCGACUGAUAAUGACCUCCAGUCACGCCUCAGAGGUGGAGAGCAUAACCUUGUCUUCGCUGACACCUGGGUCUGGACUCUAUACCUGCCAGGUGCGGGAUGUGACCCUGGCUCAGUUUGAGGUGCAGGAUGUUUAGUGAAGUGCAGAUAUCACACGCAUCCCACCACGGGCUAUUGCCCAGGGAAAACUUAAGUGAGGCUGGGGGAGGUGUUCACAGUAUGGGGUGCGUGGCAGGGUUGAAAUUGCUGUGGGGAACUUGGAGAGAGGAAGAGGAUUGGGUGAGUGUAGUUACAUUGGAGACAUAUCCUUACUUAUAUUUAAGCAACAUUUUCACACUGUGUCCCAUUGCCUGCCAUCAAUGCAUGACAAAGUGAAAGUUUGACCUGUGUGAGUAGAUUUGCCUCAGAGGCAGCAAACUACUACAGGUUUAAGUUUUUCUAUCUGUAACAGUGAGAGGUGUGGUGUCAUUACAGCCACUAGAAGUGCUGUUUCCUAACUUCCUUUGUUCUACUUAGGUUGUGCUAUGCACAGGUCCUCAAUGUGAGCACAGGAGAGGGGAUCCCGGGUGCGGCCCUUGGGUCUGGGGUGGUUCAGAGAUGACUAGAGUAAUUACAAGGUUUCUCCAUUGUCCUGGGCCAAGAGGUCAUCAUAGAAACAUGUUGCCAGGACUGUCCGACCUCUUGUCUGCAUGACUAGGAUGACAUUCCCACUCCGCGGAGCCUCCAUCGGUCACUCCUGAAGCCUGUUGACAUCACAGCCUCCUUGGAUACUGUGCUACUGUGCUGCUGUGUCCCUCUGUCUCUGUGUACAGGUGAGCUGAUGCCCAUUUCCACUUCAGGGGCUC